CUACGUGCCAGCAGCCGCGGUAAUACGGAAGGUUCGGGCGUUAUCCGGAUUUAUUGGGUUUAAAGGGAGCGUAGGCCGUGGAUUAAGCGUGUUGUGAAAUGUAGAUGCUCAACAUCUGACUUGCAGCGCGAACUGGUUUACUUGAGUGUGCGCAACGUAGGCGGAAUUCGUCGUGUAGCGGUGAAAUGCUUAGAUAUGACGAAGAACUCCGAUUGCGAAGGCAGCUUACGGGAGCACAACUGACGCUGAAGCUCGAAGGUGCGGGUAUCAAACAGGAUUAGAUACCCUGGUAGUCCGCACAGUAAACGAUGGAUGCCCGCUGUUGGCCCAUUAGGGUCAGCGGCCAAGCGAAAGCAUUAAGCAUCCCACCUGGGGAGUACGCCGGCAACGGUGAAACUCAAAGGAAUUGACGGGGGCCCGCACAAGCGGAGGAACAUGUGGUUUAAUUCGAUGAUACGCGAGGAACCUUACCCGGGCUUGAA
RNAcentral lists this ribosomal RNA (482 nucleotides) under uncultured bacterium. RNAcentral describes it as "bacterial SSU rRNA". It matches the Rfam family "Bacterial small subunit ribosomal RNA", at positions 501 to 985 of the family's 1533-position model. The record is from RNAcentral.